RNAcentral lists this ribosomal RNA (468 nucleotides) under uncultured bacterium. Its description in RNAcentral is "partial 16S ribosomal RNA". It matches the Rfam family "Bacterial small subunit ribosomal RNA", at positions 28 to 507 of the family's 1533-position model. The record is from RNAcentral.
GACGAACGCUGGCGGCGUGCUUAACACAUGCAAGUCGAACGGAAAGGCCCUGCUUUUGUGGGGUGCUCGAGUGGCGAACGGGUGAGUAACACGUGAGUAACCUGCCCUUGACUUUGGGAUAACUUCAGGAAACUGGGGCUAAUACCGGAUAGGAGCUCCUGCUGCAUGGUGGGGGUUGGAAAGUUUCGGCGGUUGGGGAUGGACUCGCGGCUUAUCAGCUUGUUGGUGGGGUAGUGGCUUACCAAGGGUUUGACGGGUAGCCGGCCUGAGAGGGUGACCGGCCACAUUGGGACUGAGAUACGGCCCAGACGCCUACGGGAGGCAGCAGUGGGGAAUAUUGCACAAUAGGCGGAAGCCUGAUGCAGCAACGCCGCGUGCGGGAUGACGGCCUUCGGGUUGUAAACCGCUUUCGCCUGUGACGAAGCGUGAGUGACGGUAAUGGGUAAAGAAGCACCGGCUAACUACGUG